Xylaria nigripes is the source of this 94-nucleotide non-coding RNA. The record is from the annotation of a GenBank genome assembly. Lineage: Eukaryota; Fungi; Ascomycota; Sordariomycetes; Xylariales; Xylariaceae.
GGUGGUAUCGUAUAGUGGUUAGUAUGCCGCGUUGUGGUCUUGUACUCACAAAUCAAAAUCCGCGUCGACGCCGGUUCGAUUCCGGCUACCGCCA